Molecule: ribosomal RNA, 564 nt
Filed under: Triticum aestivum (bread wheat)
Lineage: Eukaryota; Viridiplantae; Streptophyta; Magnoliopsida; Poales; Poaceae
Description: partial small subunit ribosomal RNA
Source: RNAcentral
CUCGCCUUCUGUUAGUGGUUUGGUGGCUCCCAGUUCUGGCAAUCCAUCAUACAGCUCCUCCCAGUACUCUGCAUCGGGACCUCGAUUGCGGUUGGAUCUGGCACCAUCACGCUAUUUUGGUUCAAUCGUUGGGCUGGGGACGCCCCCUUUGGGUCACGUUUUCCUGACCUGUUCUUCAUCGCGGUUGACCCGCGGAUCUCUGUCACGGUGGCCCUUAUUGACUUAGGGCAGCUCGCGUUCCGACAUCCAUUUGGCCCGGAUGAGAAUGCCGCUUGGCAUGACUUGCUCGACUGCAUCACAUUGCACGAGCCUGAGCUUGAUGUGGAAGAUGAUCGCACCAGGUGGCGUCUAGAGCCCUCUGGUAUAUUCUCCACCAAAUCACUCUACCAGGCUAUCGCCCCCUCUCCGGGACCUGAGGCUCUUUCCUCCAUCUGGGAGAUCCGGCUACCCCUGAAUAUUGGGAUUUUCCUAUGGCAAUGGAUCCGCGGCCGCCUUCCGCCUGGCAUGGAGGUCCUGAAACGCAACGGCACUGGCGAUGGGCGGUGUCCGCUCUGCGGGCCUUAG